AUGAUGUUGUUGGCCAUCCAGCAGAUGGGCACCAGCACGAAUAGACCACUGGUGAUGAAGAUCACACCCCCGGCGUUUACCACCCGGGCUUUGAUAUUCUCCGUGCGGAUGCAGUUGGUGCAUUGCGCCCCAGCUAUCACCACCAUAAGACCCAGCACUCCCAUCACAGAGGAGAUGACGGCAGCAGACGUAGUCUCACCCGUCGAAGCGCGCCCGUUACUUGUGCAUCACCCGCAGGAUGUGAGGCAGCAGUCCCUGGUCCCGCUUUCACUGAGAGUGGAUGCGAAAACAACUGGAAUCAAAGCAAUACAGCACGGUGGAUAACUGUGAGGUGGGGGGUGUGUGGACUCCUGGAGAAACUUUCCUCCAAUCCGCUACCGCUGCAUCCUCAUGGGACCAAUGGAAUUGCAGGGAAGUUGUGCGACUGAAUAAAGCGGUCCAGAGCGCAUUGUGCGUUUGAGCAGUUAUUUACAAUGUAGAGGGGUGAGGGCUUUUGUGUGGAGGAGGAGGAGUUGGGGGAUGUUUCAAGAUUAUUGAGCCGCUGUGAGAGUGGAUCGGGGCGCUUGUUAUUGAUUUUUCAGACAUGGGAGCUAAUGCUGGCUGUCUGGGCCAUACCUUGCCAUUUCACACCUUUUAUCAGAUGUAAAAAAGUUCUUGUAUGCUUGUUUUCAAACAAGACCAAAGAAAAUAAAUGUAAAUCAACUUUAAAUGCUUUAUAUUUAUACUCAAAAGACCAGAACAACACAAUCUUACAUUUAAAAAGGUGUUUUAGAGGCCCACGAUUCAAGAAAAAUGCAUGCAACGUCAAUUGUGCAGUAUGAUAGGUUAUUUAUAGUGGAUUUGGAAAAAUGAUUAUUAUAAAAUAACUGGAUACAAAAACAAUAUUUAGAAUUGAUAAUACCCAAAUUUAAAGCAAAAAGCCACUACUUUAAUGGACCUUAUCUGAAAAUACACCUAGGGAAUUAUUUUGAUGCACAGCAAAGGGAUUGUUUCUUUUUAAUUAAAGGAGGCUUGGUCUAAUUAUUGGAUGAGUUUGAUAGGUAAAUACCAAGCCAACCACCAAAGCUAAUUUUCAAUAAUUGGUGCAACUCUUUAAAAACUGUGUUACUUAUUGGUCUGAAAUCAGCAUAAUAGAUGUUGUUUCUGAACACAGAAAAUGUUUGCAACACAGUCAUAUCCAAACUUCAGACUGUAGUUACACUCAGACCGCAAACUGGAACACAAUUUCAUCAUAAAAAUGUAUUUUCCAAAAGAGACUUCAAAGUUGUUUAAUACUUUAGUUUUUUUAAAGAUGUUUCAAUUAAACAUUUUUAAGAUAUGUUUAUAACAAUUUCCUUUUAAAGAGAAUGACAAAAAAAAAAUCAGAAGAGAUGUUAGUCUCAAUAUGAAUAAUAGAACAAAUGGGAAACAUGUGGGGUCUGGACAGAUCCAAACUUACAUUUUUUACCAAAAGAAUAUCUUAAGAAAUCAGUCAAAAAUAACUACAGGAGGAUUUCAAACGCAACACAUUGUCACCAUGC
RNAcentral lists this long non-coding RNA (1520 nucleotides) under Oryzias sinensis (Chinese medaka). RNAcentral's name for it is "lncRNA (ENSOSIG00000013452.1)". Lineage: Eukaryota; Metazoa; Chordata; Actinopteri; Beloniformes; Adrianichthyidae. The record is from RNAcentral.